This 450-nucleotide ribosomal RNA is filed under the name uncultured bacterium. RNAcentral describes it as "partial 16S ribosomal RNA". It matches the Rfam family "Bacterial small subunit ribosomal RNA", at positions 354 to 796 of the family's 1533-position model. The record is from RNAcentral.
GUGGGGAAUAUUGGACAAUGGGCGAAAGCCUGAUCCAGCCAUGCCGCGUGUGUGAAGAAGGUCUUCGGAUUGUAAAGCACUUUAAGUUGGGAGGAAGGGUAGUAACCUAAUACGUUGCUACUUUGACGUUACCGACAGAAUAAGCACCGGCUAACUUCGUGCCAGCAGCCGCGGUAAUACGAAGGGUGCAAGCGUUAAUCGGAAUUACUGGGCGUAAAGCGCGCGUAGGUGGUUCAGUAAGUUGGAAGUGAAAUCCCCGGGCUCAACCUGGGAACUGCUUUCAAAACUGCUGAGCUAGAGUACGGUAGAGGGUGGUGGAAUGUCCUGUGUAGCGGUGAAAUGCGUAGAUAUAGGAAGGAACACCAGUGGCGAAGGCGACCACCUGGACUGAUACUGACACUGAGGUGCGAAAGCGUGGGGAGCAAACAGGAUUAGAAACCCGUGUAGUCC